RNAcentral lists this ribosomal RNA (304 nucleotides) under uncultured bacterium. RNAcentral's name for it is "bacterial SSU rRNA". It matches the Rfam family "Bacterial small subunit ribosomal RNA", at positions 28 to 363 of the family's 1533-position model. The record is from RNAcentral.
GACGAACGCUGGCGGCAUGCCUAACACAUGCAAGUCUAGGGGUAGCAAUACCACUGGCGCACGGGUGAGUAACACGUAGGUUAUCUGCCCCCAUCACAGACAUAACCCCGGGAAACCGGGGCUAAUAUCUGAUGAGGUCGCGAGAUCAAAGCUUCGGCGGAUGGGGAUGAGCCUGCGGCUGAUUAGCUAGUUGGUGAGGUAAUGGCUCACCAAGGCGACGAUCAGUAGCUGGUCUGAGAGGACGAACAGCCACACUGGAACUGAGACACGGUCCAGACUCCUACGGGAGCAGCAGUGAGGAAUA